Molecule: ribosomal RNA, 253 nt
Filed under: uncultured bacterium
Lineage: Bacteria
Description: partial 16S ribosomal RNA
Rfam family: Bacterial small subunit ribosomal RNA
Source: RNAcentral
UACGAAGGGGGCUAGCGUUGUUCGGAAUUACUGGGCGUAAAGCGCACGUAGGCGGACUAUUAAGUCAGGGGUGAAAUCCCGGGGCUCAACCCCGGAACUGCCUUUGAUACUGGUAGUCUUGAGUCCGGAAGAGGUGAGUGGAAUUCCGAGUGUAGAGGUGAAAUUCGUAGAUAUUCGGAGGAACACCAGUGGCGAAGGCGGCUCACUGGUCCGGUACUGACGCUGAGGUGCGAAAGCGUGGGGAGCGAACAGG